UCCCUAUUAGCUCAGUUGGUAGAGAAUCUGCCUGCAAUGCAGGAGACCCGGGUUCGAUUCCUGGGUCAGGAA
This 72-nucleotide transfer RNA is filed under the name Bos taurus (domestic cattle). It matches the Rfam family "tRNA". From Rfam's summary of the family: Transfer RNA (tRNA) molecules are approximately 80 nucleotides in length. Their secondary structure includes four short double-helical elements and three loops (D, anti-codon, and T loops). RNAcentral also lists the same sequence under 4 other names. Lineage: Eukaryota; Metazoa; Chordata; Mammalia; Artiodactyla; Bovidae. The record is from Rfam by way of RNAcentral.